GACGAACGCUGGCGGCGUGCCUAAUACAUGCAAGUCGAACGCAGUUGCGAACGGGUGAGUAACGCGUAGGUAACUGACUCAUAGCGGGGGAUAACUAUUGGAAACGAUAGCUAAUACCGCAUUCUGUGAGCUGGAUCUGCGUUGUAUUAGCUAGUUGGUGGGGUAAAGGCUCACCAAGGCGACGAUACAUCGCCGGCCUGGGAGGGGUAUCGGCCAAAACGGGAAUGAGGAAAGGGCCAAAACCCUACGGGAGGGAACAGUAGGGAAAUUUCGGAAAUGGGCGGAAGUCUGAACGAGCAAAGCCGGGGUAGUGAAGAAGGGUUUCGGAUUGGAAAGCUCUGUUGGUAGAGAAACGGUAACUAACCAGAAAGGGACGGCUAACUACGUGCCAGCAGCCGCGGUAAUAC
This 407-nucleotide ribosomal RNA is filed under the name uncultured bacterium. RNAcentral describes it as "partial 16S ribosomal RNA". It matches the Rfam family "Bacterial small subunit ribosomal RNA", at positions 28 to 526 of the family's 1533-position model. The record is from RNAcentral.